CCGAUGGCGACCGGCGCACGGGUGAGUAACACGUAUCCAACCUGCCGUCUACUCUUGGACAGCCUUCUGAAAGGAAGAUUAAUACAAGAUGGCAUCAUGAGUCCGCAUGUUCACAUGAUUAAAGGUAUUCCGGUAGACGAUGGGGAUGCGUUCCAUUAGAUAGUAGGCGGGGUAACGGCCCACCUAGUCUUCGAUGGAUAGGGGUUCUGAGAGGAAGGUCCCCCACAUUGGAACUGAGACACGGUCCAAACUCCUACGGGAGGCAGCAGUGAGGAAUAUUGGUCAAUGGGCGAGAGCCUGAACCAGCCAAGUAGCGUGAAGGAUGACUGCCCUAUGGGUUGUAAACUUCUUUUAUAAAGGAAUAAAGUCGGGUAUGCAUACCCGUUUGCAUGUACUUUAUGAAUAAGGAUCGGCUAACUCCGUGCCAGCAGCCGCGGUAAUACGGAGGAUCCGAGCGUUAUCCGGAUUUAUUGGGUUUAAAGGGAGCGUAGAUGGAUGUUUAAGUCAGUUGUGAAAGUUUGCGGCUCAACCGUAAAAUUGCAGUUGAUACUGGAUAUCUUGAGUGCAGUUGAGGCAGGCGGAAUUCGUGGUGUAGCGGUGAAAUGCUUAGAUAUCACGAAGAACUCCGAUUGCGAAGG
Molecule: ribosomal RNA, 638 nt
Filed under: uncultured bacterium
Lineage: Bacteria
Description: bacterial SSU rRNA
Rfam family: Bacterial small subunit ribosomal RNA
Source: RNAcentral